RNAcentral lists this long non-coding RNA (1979 nucleotides) under Athene cunicularia (burrowing owl). RNAcentral's name for it is "lncRNA (ENSACUG00000001257.1)". Lineage: Eukaryota; Metazoa; Chordata; Aves; Strigiformes; Strigidae. The record is from RNAcentral.
GGGACAACGUGAAAAUGGGGGAAGGAUAUCUUGGGUGAUCCCAUGGCAGAAGACCACAGCUGGUGAUUCUUUUUGUUCCUCUUCCAUAGAGACCUCCAGGAGUAGGUCUGAAAAUCAUCUCAUGGAAAAGCUAGAAGCGCUGUGUGCCCAGCAGUCCAGGAUGGUGUCUCCACACUGCAGGUGGCCAUCAGCCAAGCUCUCCUCUCAAGAACAUCAAGAGAAUAAGGAUGUUGCCUUGCUAUCGUCUUCACGAAGUUCUCUAAGGACAGACGUGAUAUUACAGCGCCUGCCAGAGCCUGUAACUGUGUACAUAGAUUUAAGAGAUGCUAAUCCACAGAAGUCAGUAACGCUCCCCGAUGAGAAAGAAAGUGCAAGCGACAGCUCCACUGAAGAAGAAGAAGAAGAAACUAUGACAAUUAAGGACCAAGCAGAAAGGAGAAUGAGGAAUUGCUCAGGGAAAAGCCUGCUACUACAACAACUCCAUAUAGCCCGUAAAGAAGCCUCAGAGGUUCUUAGUGAAAUGUCUACCCCAGCUGAAAAACUUGAAGGCAUAAAACAGGAUCCAGAAAGUCUGGAAGAGAUAGGUUCCUCUAAAAUAAGUCAAAACCAGUAUUUUAAAGUGAGGCAAGAGACAAAUGAAUUGAUUCCCAGGAGUUUGAAACCAGAGACAAGAAAUACCCUCUUUUCAGGCCAUGGGGGCAAUGGAGCUGACAUAGAAAAAGAAAACAAAAUGGAAACUGAGAAGGUUCAAAAUUCAGGAAAUGCUUCAGAGUCUCCUCUAACUACAGGAGAAUUGCCAAGGACAGAAGAAAGUAAAAAAGAGCUAUCCCAAAAGGAAGAAGAGAUGAAAGAGAGACACAGGAGAUGCAGAUUCCAGGAGCAGCUGGAAAGACUGCAGCCUCAGCAGUCAGUUACUGGAAAGCAGCCCAUGGCAGAGAAAACCCCUGUUUUGUUUCACAUGGUUAGUAGUUCAGCGUAGGACUGUCUCUUUCAGAAUGGCUUCCUGGCCAAAUGCAAGUGUGAUCCUAGAACCAAAAAGUAAUUUUCAUUGCAUUAUUUAAAAUCUGUUUGUAACGGAGUGCCGUUACCUGAUGAGAUGAGCAGUCCCACAGCUCUUCUCUUGUGCUAACAAUACCUUUCUUUCCUUUCCUGUACGGGGAGUGCUCCCCCAUACAGCUGCCCACCAGGUUUGACGUGUCGGGGUGUGGUAGGAGUCCUGGCUUGAGGUCAGUGGGCUCAGUGUCAUCUACUUCACAGGAGCCAGACUUUCACACAUGAUUUUUCAUAACUUAGAAAAAAAAAAUAUUUUACUGUCACAAUUCUAAAGUAAAGCCUAUGCAGAGUCCUGUCUAGUUGUCAGCCCUUAGCAGCUUUAUAUUUCAGUUUUGUGGGUAGACUUUGAGGACUGCGGGUUUAGUAAUAGGUUUUGCUUUUGGCUGAUGUCCUGAUUAAGGGAGUAUGAAAUUAUCCUAAUUUUUCCCAGAGCCUAAAAUAUGGCUCAGAGGAGAGGGCUGUUUUUCCUCCUAAGAAGAUUUGUAUAUGUAGUCUUUAUUCAUCCUUGCCCUGAUUUCACUGAACACAAGGCCAGCUGAGAAGGUAAAAGAUGAGAAACUCAAGAAUUUGUCCGUGAAUCCACCAAAAUUACUUACUUGGGCUAAUAGCAGUAACAAAGCUGUUCUGUCAGUACAAAAGUUGAAAGACCUUACAGCCCUAAGUUGGGGGAGGGACCAUUCAUCUUUGUUUUGUAAGCAAUCGACUACUGUAUUUCUGCAGAUUGAAAGCAUAUUUUUUUAACACUAGAUUAAUCACUGCUGAGAAGCAAAGGACUAACAGACAGCUGUAUUUCCCUGUCACCGUGCCUUGGCAAGGACAGUGAACUGCACAGAGCUGUGUUCUGAAGUGUGGAAAGGUGAAUCUAGUCUUCAGCCUUGUUCCUUUCUCAGUCUGCUGGGAGAUACCACCAAAUUCCAGUUAGCCCU